Molecule: long non-coding RNA, 383 nt
Filed under: Medicago truncatula (barrel medic)
Lineage: Eukaryota; Viridiplantae; Streptophyta; Magnoliopsida; Fabales; Fabaceae
Description: lncRNA gene4082
Source: RNAcentral
AUGUAUGUUAGGAGUCCCACAUCGAGUAUAUCAAAGUGCUUGAUGUGGUACUUAAGCCUUGAGGUUCUCCCACCUAUUGGACUAGUUUUUUGGGUUGGGCUCUCCUCAUGGGCUUAAGUCCUAACAAUUGGUGCUUUCAUUGAGAGUUGGACCACGGAAAGGGCUACCUAUAGGCUGGAUUAAGGUGUUCCACCGAAUACUGAUAGGUGAGUGAAGCCGCCAAAAAGGAAAGGGCUACCAUCGGGUCAGUGUCGAUAGAGUGAAAGCCGCCGUGAACGUCGGCUCUUAAAGAGCGUGGCAAUGUUAGGAGUCCCACAUCGAGUAUAUCAAAGUGCUUGAUGUGGUACUUAAGCCUUGAGGUUCUCCCACCUAUUGGACUAGUU